RNAcentral lists this ribosomal RNA (476 nucleotides) under uncultured bacterium. RNAcentral describes it as "SSU rRNA". It matches the Rfam family "Bacterial small subunit ribosomal RNA", at positions 26 to 518 of the family's 1533-position model. The record is from RNAcentral.
AGGACGAACGCUGGCGGCGUGCUUAACACAUGCAAGUCGAACGGUGAUCUCACUUCGGUGGGUGAUCAGUGGCGAACGGGUGAGUAACACGUGGGUAACCUGCCCCUCACUCUGGGAUAACUCCGGGAAACCGGGGCUAAUACCGGAUACGAGCCUUGACCGCAUGGUCGGGGCUGGAAAGUUUUUCGGUGAGGGAUGGACCCGCGGCCUAUCAGCUUGUUGGUGGGGUAAUGGCCUACCAAGGCUUUGACGGGUAGCCGGCCUGAGAGGGCGACCGGCCACACUGGGACUGAGACACGGCCCAGACUCCUACGGGAGGCAGCAGUGGGGAAUAUUGCACAAUGGGCGAAAGCCUGAUGCAGCGACGCCGCGUGAGGGAUGACGGCCUUCGGGUUGUAAACCUCUUUCAGCAGGGACGAAGCGAAAGUGACUGUACCUGCAGAAGAAGCACCGGCUAACUACGUGCCAGCAGCCGC